RNAcentral lists this ribosomal RNA (253 nucleotides) under uncultured bacterium. Its description in RNAcentral is "partial 16S ribosomal RNA". It matches the Rfam family "Bacterial small subunit ribosomal RNA", at positions 524 to 776 of the family's 1533-position model. The record is from RNAcentral.
UACGGAGGGGGCGAGCGUUAUUCGGAAUUAUUGGGCGUAAAGGGCGCGUAGGCGGCUUGAUAAGUCAAAGGUGAAAUCCCUCGGCUCAACUGAGGAACUGCCUUUGAAACUGUGGAGCUUGAGGCCGGGAGGGGGUAGCGGAAUUCCCAGUGUAGCGGUGAAAUGCGUAGAUAUUGGGAGGAACACCAGUGGCGAAGGCGGCUACCUGGACCGGAACUGACGCUGAUGCGCGAAAGCGUGGGUAGCAAACGGG